Molecule: ribosomal RNA, 497 nt
Filed under: uncultured bacterium
Lineage: Bacteria
Description: partial 16S ribosomal RNA
Rfam family: Bacterial small subunit ribosomal RNA
Source: RNAcentral
GAUGAACGCUGGCGGCGUGUCUAAUACAUGCAAGUCGAGCGAACAGACGAGGAGCUUGCUCCUCUGACGUUAGCGGCGGACGGGUGAGUAACACGUGGAUAACCUACCUAUAAGACUGGGAUAACUUCGGGAAACCGGAGCUAAUACCGGAUAAUAUAUUGAACCGCAUGGUUCAAUAGUGAAAGACGGUUUUGCUGUCACUUAUAGAUGGAUCCGCGCCGCAUUAGCUAGUUGGUAAGGUAACGGCUUACCAAGGCGACGAUGCGUAGCCGACCUGAGAGGGUGAUCGGCCACACUGGAACUGAGACACGGUCCAGACUCCUACGGGAGGCAGCAGUAGGGAAUCUUGCGCAAUGGGCGAAAGCCUGACGGAGCAACGCCGCGUGAGUGAUGAAGGUCUUCGGAUCGUAAAACUCUGUUAUUAGGGAAGAACAAAUGUGUAAGAAACUAUGCACGUCUUGACGGUACCUAAACAGAAAGCCACGGCUAACUACGUG